Molecule: ribosomal RNA, 201 nt
Filed under: uncultured bacterium
Lineage: Bacteria
Description: partial 16S ribosomal RNA
Rfam family: Bacterial small subunit ribosomal RNA
Source: RNAcentral
ACGCUCGACACCUACGGGAGGCAGCAGUUGGGAAGUAUUGGACAAUGGAGGAAACUCUGAUCCAGUGACGCCGCGUGAAGGAAGAAGGUUCUUCGGAUUGUAAACUUAUUUUGUCAGGGAAGAAAAAAUGACUGUACCUGAAGAAAAAGCACCGGCUAACUACGUGCCACAGCCGCGGUAAUCUGAGCGGGCUGGCAAGGC